GACGAACGCUGGCGGCGUGCUUAACACAUGCAAGUCGAACGGAAAGGCCCUGCUUUUGUGGGGUGCUCGAGUGGCGAACGGGUGAGUAACACGUGAGUAACCUGCCCUUGACUUUGGGAUAACUUCAGGAAACUGGGGCUAAAACCGGAUAGGAGCUCCGGCGGCAGGGGGGGGGUGGGAAAGUUUGGGCGGUGGGGGUUGGACUCGCGGCUUAUCAGCUUGUUGGUGGGGUAGUGGCUUACCAAGGCUUUGACGGGUAGCCGGCCUGAGAGGGUGACCGGCCACAUUGGGACUGAGAUACGGCCCAGACUCCUACGGGAGGCAGCAGUGGGGAAUAUUGCACAAUGGGCGGAAGCCUGAUGCAGCAACGCCGCGUGCGGGAUGACGGCCUUCGGGUUGUAAACCGCUUUCGCCUGUGACGAAGCGUGAGUGACGGUAAUGGGUAAAGAAGCACCGGCUAACUACGUG
This 468-nucleotide ribosomal RNA is filed under the name uncultured bacterium. Its description in RNAcentral is "partial 16S ribosomal RNA". It matches the Rfam family "Bacterial small subunit ribosomal RNA", at positions 28 to 507 of the family's 1533-position model. The record is from RNAcentral.